GUGGGGAAUAUUGGGCAAUGGGGGAAACCCUGACCCAGCAACGCCGCGUGAAGGAAGAAGGCCUUCGGGUUGUAAACUUCUUUUAGCAGGGACGAAGGACGUGACGGUACCUGCAGAAAAAGCAACGGCUAACUACGUGCCAGCAGCCGCGGUAAUACGUAGGUUGCGAGCGUUGUCCGGAAUUACUGGGUGUAAAGGGCGUGUAGGCGGAGCUGCAAGUCAGAUGUGAAAUGUCAUGGCUCAACCAUGGAACUGCAUUUGAAACUGUGGCCCUUGAGUAUCGGAGAGGCAAGCGGAAUUCCUAGUGUAGCGGUGAAAUGCGUAGAUAUUAGGAGGAACACCAGUGGCGAAGGCGGCUUGCUGGACGACAACUGACGCUGAGGCGCGAAAGCGUGGGGAGCAAACAGG
RNAcentral lists this ribosomal RNA (408 nucleotides) under uncultured bacterium. RNAcentral describes it as "bacterial SSU rRNA". It matches the Rfam family "Bacterial small subunit ribosomal RNA", at positions 354 to 776 of the family's 1533-position model. The record is from RNAcentral.